AACAUCCUUGUUGCAGGAGCCGCGAAUGCUAACAUCCUUGCUGAAUGCCUCUUGUAAAGUUGAAGAGUCAAGAACUAAGCAAACACCAAAAAGAAUCAAAGGGUUCUGGAGCAAUGGAGAUUGCUCUACAGAACACUAGCUUUUUCUCUCAUCUUCAUUUCUUUUCCAGGUGGGAACUAUCAGGGCAGAUAUAAGGGAUAAGAAUAUCUCUAUCUAAAUAUGCAAUCUUCCAUGCUUGUGCUGGAUGUUUGCAUCAUGUACAAAAACUAAGUCGGGAAAUAACUAGAGAAAAGAUCAGAUAAUAUAUAUCUCACUUUCUUCAGAUGCCUGGAGCAUCAUACAGGGAAGGAUGCAGCAAGGAUAUGAAAAGCAAAGAUCGCAGCGUCGGAUCGUGGCAUCGCAACGCCGCACAUCUGAUAAGGUCAGGCUAGUUUACAAAGCAGCGGCAGCUCAAUCUACUGAGAAAAGCCAAGGGCAAGUUGGCCGGAUUCUGUGCCACAGAUAAGGCUGGUCAGUGAGGUGGUGAGGGCCGGCUGGCUAUUAUGGAUGCUAUUCUGAAACCGGCUGAGGGGAUUGAUCCCUGGUUCGUUCGAAACCGGUUCAAUCAGCCAGUUGGAAUUGGUUCCAUGUGUCGUAUGACAAAGUAGUGGCCGUACCAUUCAGGUAUUGCCGGUCGUUGUCGGCACCAUUCUUGCUACGACAGACGCAAUUACUGUAUGGGUGUGCAUGGAGCAAUGGCAUCUGUGGUAUUUUUCAGGCUGAGGUAGGCACUGCAUGCUUUGACGGAUGGAGAAUGCAGGAACUUCACUAUACAAAUUUACUGUACCAAUAUGAAUUCUAGUGUACGCAAGGCUGUGUGUAACCAUAUAUCUGUAUACUAUAUGCUGAUUAAUCUAAAGAUAAAAAAGUUUCAAA
Molecule: long non-coding RNA, 915 nt
Organism: Panicum virgatum (switchgrass)
Lineage: Eukaryota; Viridiplantae; Streptophyta; Magnoliopsida; Poales; Poaceae
Exons: 2
Source: RefSeq, a predicted model, not a curated record